AUCUGUCUCCUCGGUGUAGGUUGGACGUUCGGCCACAGUUGCAAUGACGUGCUCACUUGGCAGCAAGAGAAAAUUGGCAACGUUGUAAUUUCGAAAUCGCGAUAUGCAUUACUUUGAAGACUGGUGUCAAUCUCCGCGUGCUAAUGAAAAGCCUACUACUUAUGGAUUUGAUGUGAAGGAAUGACGAAAAGACAUCCUAAGAAGGGAAUCCGUCUUUGCCAUGCACAAAAUCUAAUUUAAACGAACCUGAGGAGUUUCUCGACAAGUGCCAUGCCGACAAAUCCAGUGCCGCCUGUGACGAAGACACUGGUGCCCUCGUAGAACUUCUGUAUGACG
Bemisia tabaci is the source of this 336-nucleotide long non-coding RNA. RefSeq lists it as uncharacterized. The record is from RefSeq and is a predicted model, not a curated record. Lineage: Eukaryota; Metazoa; Arthropoda; Insecta; Hemiptera; Aleyrodidae.